This is a long non-coding RNA of Dermacentor silvarum, 582 nucleotides long. RefSeq lists it as uncharacterized. NCBI's taxonomy places the organism in Eukaryota, Metazoa, Arthropoda, Arachnida, Ixodida, Ixodidae. The transcript is spliced from 3 exons. The record is from RefSeq and is a predicted model, not a curated record.
UUUUCGCGCCGUCUUGUUGGCCUGACUACUGCGCAGCAGGCGCGGAGCAUCGUAAGACUGUUGCCGGAUGGAUGAAAAUUCUUGCGCUGGGAAUUCACAAACGCCUAUUAAGGAUUUAUCAGACCACAGCUCCAGCAUGCACAACUCCACCUCGUCUGUGAUUGGGUAUGCGGAAUGUGCUGUGUUCAGUAUUUCAACCGGUCUCUCAACAGGACCCCCGGGUGCUGAAGCCAUGGAUGUCAGGCGAUGUCACGCGAAGAACUGCGAGCGAAGUAUGGCUUCAACCGCGAAACGUGUAGGAUGUCAACUGGCGUCGGACUUGAGGACGGAGCAAACUGUAACGGCGAGAUCUCGUAAUUGACAUCAUUAACUUGACGUAGGACUUCAUAAGGCCCUGUGUAGCGAGAGAGAAGCUUCUGGGAGAGACCGACACCACGACAUGGUGACCAGAGGAGCACCCAAGCACCUGGGGCGAACUUGACAUUGCGAUGGCGGCGAUCGUACCGCUCAUUAAGAGUGCUUGUAAUAGCGCUAGUUGACAUAAAAGCAUUUUAAGCAUUGUUGUAUUAUAUAGUACGCGGG